CCGGCACGGGUGAGUAACACGUAUGCAAUCCACCUGUAACAGGGGGAGUAACCCGGAGAAAUCCGACUAAUACCCAUAAUAUGGGCGCUCCGCAUGGAGAGCCCAUUAAAGAGAGCAAUUUUGGUUACAGACGAGCAUGCGCUCCAUUAGCCAGUUGGCGGGGUAACGGCCCACCAAAGCGACGAUGGAUAGGGGUUCUGAGAGGAAGGUCCCCCACAUUGGAACUGAGACACGGUCCAA
RNAcentral lists this ribosomal RNA (240 nucleotides) under uncultured bacterium. RNAcentral's name for it is "partial 16S ribosomal RNA". It matches the Rfam family "Bacterial small subunit ribosomal RNA", at positions 100 to 334 of the family's 1533-position model. The record is from RNAcentral.